AUCCAGCGGAGGAGUCCCAAAUAGAACGAAACGCGCAUCCUGGAU
This is a non-coding RNA of Schistosoma rodhaini, 45 nucleotides long. NCBI's taxonomy places the organism in Eukaryota, Metazoa, Platyhelminthes, Trematoda, Strigeidida, Schistosomatidae. The record is from Rfam.